Molecule: ribosomal RNA, 460 nt
Filed under: uncultured bacterium
Lineage: Bacteria
Description: partial 16S ribosomal RNA
Rfam family: Bacterial small subunit ribosomal RNA
Source: RNAcentral
CCUACGGGAGGCUGCAGUGAGGAAUAUUGGUCAAUGGACGAGAGUCUGAACCAGCCAAGUAGCGUGAAGGAUGACUGCCCUAUGGGUUGUAAACUUCUUUUAUAUGGGAAUAAAAUGUUCCACGUGUGGGAUUUUGUAUGUACCAUAUGAAUAAGGAUCGGCCAACUCCGUGCCAGCAGCCGCGGUAAUACGGAGGAUCCGAGCGUUAUCCGGAUUUAUUGGGUUUAAAGGGAGCGUAGGUGGAUUGUUAAGUCAGUUGUGAAAGUUUGCGGCUCAACCGUAAAAUUGCAGUUGAAACUGGCAGUCUUGAGUGCAGUAGAGGUGUGCGGAAUUCGUGGUGUAGCGGUGAAAUGCUUAGAUAUCACGAAGAACUCCGAUUGCGAAGGCAGUUCACUGGACUGCAACUGACACUGAGGCUCGAAAGUGUGGGUAUCAAACAGGAUUAGAUACCCUUGUAGUC